RNAcentral lists this ribosomal RNA (483 nucleotides) under uncultured bacterium. RNAcentral's name for it is "partial 16S ribosomal RNA". It matches the Rfam family "Bacterial small subunit ribosomal RNA", at positions 30 to 506 of the family's 1533-position model. The record is from RNAcentral.
AUUGAACGCUGGCGGCAGGCCUAACACAUGCAAGUCGAGCGGAUGAAGGGAGCUUGCUCCUGGAUUCAGCGGCGGACGGGUGAGUAAUGCCUAGGAAUCUGCCUGGUAGUGGGGGAUAACGUCCGGAAACGGGCGCUAAUACCGCAUACGUCCAGAGGGAGAAAGUGGGGGAUCUUCGGACCUCACGCUCUCAGAUGAGCCUAGGUCGGAUUAGCUAGUUGGUGGGGUAAAGGCCUACCAAGGCGACGAUCCGUAACUGGUCUGAGUGGAUGAUCAGUCACACGGGAACUGAGACACGGUCCAGACUCCUACGGGAGGCAGCAGGGGGGAAUAUUGGAAAAUGGGCGAAAGCCUGAUCCAGCCAUGCCGCGUGUGUGAAGAAGGUCUUCGGAUGGUAAAGCACUUUAAGUUGGGAGAAAGGGCAGUAAGUUAAUACCUUGCUGUUUUGACGUUACCAACAGAAUAAGCACCGGCUAACUUCGU